This 115-nucleotide ribosomal RNA is filed under the name Salvia splendens (bonfire salvia). Lineage: Eukaryota; Viridiplantae; Streptophyta; Magnoliopsida; Lamiales; Lamiaceae. The record is from RNAcentral.
GCGAUCAUACCAACGCUAAUGCAUCGGAUUCCAUCAGAACUCUGAAGUUGAGCAUGCUUGUACUAGAGUAUUACUAGGUUGGGUGACCCCCUCAGAAGUCUUCGUGUUGCACCCC